AGAAUCAACGCUGGCGGCGUGCCUAACACAUGCAAGUCGAACGAGAAAGGGACUUCGGUCCUGAGUAUAGUGGCGCACGGGUGAGUAACACGUGAAUAAUCUACCUCCGAGUGGGGAAUAACUGGAAGAAAUUUCAGCUAAUACCGCAUAACACUUACGAGUCAAAGCAGCAAUGCGCUUGGAGAGGAGUUCGCGGCAGAUUAGUUAGUUGGCGGGGUAAUGGCCCACCAAGACGAUGAUCUGUAUCCGGCCUGAGAGGGCGCACGGACACACUGGAACUGAAACACGGUCCAGACUCCUACGGGAGGCAGCAGUGGGGAAUUUUGCGCAAUGGGGAAACCCUGACGCAGCAACGCCGCGUGGAGGAUGAAGUAUCUUGGUACGUAAACUCCUUUCGAUGGGGAAGAUAAUGACGGUACCCAUAGAAGAAGCCCGGCUAACUUCGCGCCAGCAGCCGC
This 458-nucleotide ribosomal RNA is filed under the name uncultured bacterium. RNAcentral describes it as "SSU rRNA". It matches the Rfam family "Bacterial small subunit ribosomal RNA", at positions 26 to 518 of the family's 1533-position model. The record is from RNAcentral.